GUGGAAUUCUCAGAUUUGUUAAAGACUAACUUAUGCGAAAGCAUUUGCCAAGGAUGUUUUCAUUAAUCAAGAACGAAAGU
This 80-nucleotide ribosomal RNA is filed under the name uncultured eukaryote. Its description in RNAcentral is "partial small subunit ribosomal RNA". It matches the Rfam family "Eukaryotic small subunit ribosomal RNA", at positions 911 to 990 of the family's 1831-position model. The record is from RNAcentral.